CCCGAAGUGCUAGGAUUACAUGUGUGAGCCACUGUGCCCGGCCCCCAGUACCUUGUAUAACCUCCCCCUCGGAGGUGACAUCUGCCACUUUUGCUGCAUUCCAUUUCUUAGGAGCGAGUCAUUGGGUCCGGGCCAUAUGGGAGUGAAUACUGGGAGGCGGGGAUUAUUGGGAGCCACUUUAGAAGCUGCCUACUGCAGUUGUCAUGAUUCUUCAUCCUUUUCUGCUAGAUAUGCAACUCAGGAACCGUAAAGAUUGUCUUGUAAAAAACUGCAGAAUGUAACAAUAACAAAUCCAAAGUUUGGAGCUUGGUGCCUCGCUUGGUAAGCGAGGUUAUUCCACAUGAUCUGCGGAGGCUCCCUGCGGGAGGUGGGUGCCUGAGCCACUCAUCAGUGACCCAUCUUGCCCAGUGAGGAGCUCGCACAUGUGUUGCUUGUGAAGAAAGGCGGCAAACAAACAGGUGGUUCCUUGGAUAGGAAGUAUGAUUUAAGUAAGAAACCAUGUUAGGUGCUGCUGGGAGUUGCUUGGAGGUUGGCGGCGCGGGGCUGAAGGCUAGCAGACCGAGUGAUCAUGUCGCACAAACAGAUUGACUAUUCGGACAAAUACGAUGACGAGGAGUUUGAGUAUCGACAUGUUGUGCUGCCCAAGGACAUAGCCAAGCUGGUCCCUAAAACUCGUUUGAUGUCUGAAUCUGAAUGGAGGAAUCUUGGCAUUCAGCAGAGUCAGGGAUGGGUCCAUUAUAUGAUCCAGGAACCAGAACCUCACAUCUUGCUGUUCCGGCGCCCGCUACCCAAGAAGCCAAAGAAAUGAAGCUGGCAAGCUACUUUUCAGCCUCAAGCUUUACACAGCUGUCCUUACUUCCUAACAUCUUUCUGAUAAUAUUAUUAUGUUGCCUUCUUGUUUCUCACUUUGAUAUUUAAAAGAUGUUCAAUACACUGUUUGAAUGUGCUGGUAACUGCUUUGCUUCUUGAGUAGAGCCACCACCACCAUAGCCCAGCCAGAUGAGUGCUCUGUGGACCCACAGCCUCAGCUGAGUGUGACCCCAGAAGCCACGAUGUGCUCUGUAUCCAGAACACACUUGGCAGAUGGAGGAAGCAUCUGAGUUUGAGACCAUGGCUGUUACCAGAGAUCAUGUAAACUUGCUGUUUUUGUUUUUUUCCUGCCGGGUGUUGUAUGUGUGGUGACUUGUGGAUUUAUGUUUCAGUGUACUGGAAACUUUCCAUUUUAUUCAAGAAAUCUGUUCAUGUUAAAAGCCUUGAUUAAAGAGGAAGUUUUUAUAAUCUAAAAAAAAAAAAAAAAAA
This is a non-coding RNA of Macaca mulatta (Rhesus monkey), 1299 nucleotides long. Lineage: Eukaryota; Metazoa; Chordata; Mammalia; Primates; Cercopithecidae. The record is from RefSeq and is a predicted model, not a curated record.